CKGCUUCAGUAACACGUGGCUAACCUACCCUCGAGACGGGGACAACCCCGGGAAACUGGGGCUAAUCCCAGAUAGAUGAGAACUCCUGCAAUGGGUUCUCGUCCAAAAGGCACCAAGAUCAUGCUUCUUGGCGUCGCUUAAGGAUGGGGCCGCGACCGAUCAGGCUGUUGGUGAGGCAACGGCUCACCAAACCUUUAACCGGUACGGGCCGUGGGAGCGGGUGCCCGGAGAUGGGAACUGAGACAAGGUCCCAGGCCCUACGGGGCGCAGCAGUUACGAAAACUUGUCAAUGCACGAAAGUGUGAACGGGCUACCCCGAGUGCCGUCCGCUGAGGAUGGCUUUUCUCUGCUGUAAGGAAGCGGAGGAAUAAGGAGAGGGCAAGUCUGGUGUCAGCCGCCGCGGUAAUACCAGCUCUCCGAGUGGUAGGGAUGAUUAUUGGGCUUAAAGCGUCCGUAGCCGGCCUCUCAAGUCUCUCGUUAAAUCCAGCGAUUCAAUCGUUGGACUGCGGGAGAUACUGUGAGGCUAGGGGGCGGGAGAAGCCGACGGUAUUUCCGGGGUAGGGGUAAAAUCCUAUAAUCCCAGGAAGACCACCAGUGGCGAAGGCGGUCGGCUAGCACGCGCCCGACGGUGAGGGACGAAAGCUGGGGGAGCGAACCGGAUUAGAUACCCGGGUAGUCCCAGCUGUAAACGAUGCUGGCUAGGUGUUGAAGCGGCCACGAGUCGCUUCAGUGUCGCAGGGAAGCCAUUAAGCCAGCCGCCUGGGGAGUACGGCCGCAAGGCUGAAACUUAAAGGAAUUGGCGGGGGAGCAC
RNAcentral lists this ribosomal RNA (811 nucleotides) under uncultured Sulfolobales archaeon. RNAcentral's name for it is "bacterial SSU rRNA". It matches the Rfam family "Archaeal small subunit ribosomal RNA", at positions 83 to 879 of the family's 1478-position model. Lineage: Archaea; Thermoproteati; Thermoproteota; Thermoprotei; Sulfolobales. The record is from RNAcentral.